Molecule: ribosomal RNA, 309 nt
Filed under: uncultured cyanobacterium
Lineage: Bacteria; Bacillati; Cyanobacteriota
Description: bacterial SSU rRNA
Rfam family: Bacterial small subunit ribosomal RNA
Source: RNAcentral
GAUGAACGCUGGCGGCGUGCUUCAUACAUGCAAGUCGAACGAGAAUUGGUAGCUUGCUACCAAGGAAAGUGGCGGACGGGUGAGUAAUACAUAGGGAAUCUGCCCUUAGCCGGGGGACAACAGUUGGAAACGACUGCUAAUACCGCAUAUGAGGUAAGUUGAGAUACUUAUCUUGAAAACUCCGGUGGCUAAGGAUGAGCCUGUGCCUGAUUAGUUAGUUGGCGGGGUAAAGGCCCACCAAGGCGACGAUCAGUAGCUGGUUUGAGAGGAUGAUCAGCCACAAUGGGACUGAGACACGGCCCAUACUCC